ACAGCCAUGCCAUGCUGAAUAUACCGGUUCUCGUUAGAUCACCGAACAGUCAAGCAUCAUUGUUGGCGCGGUCAGUACUUUCCAGGGUGGGUGACCACCUGGGAGCC
Caerostris extrusa is the source of this 107-nucleotide non-coding RNA. NCBI's taxonomy places the organism in Eukaryota, Metazoa, Arthropoda, Arachnida, Araneae, Araneidae. The record is from the annotation of a GenBank genome assembly.